CCCUUAGAUGUCCUGGGCCGCACGCGCGCUACACUGAGUGUCUGAGAUACGAGUCUGCCUGGUCCGGCAAGGUCUUGGUAAUCGCUAAAAGACACAUCAUGCUUGGGAUAGAUUAUUGCAAAUAUUAAUCUUGAACGAGGAAUUCCUAGUAAGCGCAAGUCAACAGCUUGCGUUGAUUACGUCCCUGCCCUUUGUACACACCGCCCGUCGCUACUACUGAUUGGAUGUUUAAGCGAGGUUCUCGAACUGCUAGCGACUUAGCUUCGGUGAGGUCGCAGUGUGGGAAGUGAACCUAGCUUUGGUGUCUAGAGGAAGUAAAAGUCGUAACA
This 329-nucleotide ribosomal RNA is filed under the name uncultured eukaryote. RNAcentral describes it as "partial 18S ribosomal RNA". It matches the Rfam family "Eukaryotic small subunit ribosomal RNA", at positions 1470 to 1796 of the family's 1831-position model. The record is from RNAcentral.